GCCGGUGAUGACAGCAAAGUGGAAACACCUGAUCCCAUUCCGAACUCAGCCCAAUUUUUAAUCACCGGGCACUUUUGCGCCGAUGGUACUACCGAAAGGUGGGAGAGUAGGUCGUUGCCGGUU
Molecule: ribosomal RNA, 123 nt
Filed under: Candidatus Haliotispira prima
Lineage: Bacteria; Pseudomonadati; Spirochaetota; Spirochaetia; Spirochaetales; Spirochaetaceae
Source: RNAcentral